AGGGAAUAGAUACCCGGGUAGUCCACGCCCUAAACGAUGUCAACUAGUUGUUGGGGGAGUAAAAUCCCUUAGUAACGCAGCUAAACGCGUGAAAGUUGACCGCCUGGGGAGUACGGUCGCAAGAUUAAAACUCAAAGGAAUUGACGGGGCCCGCACAAGCGGUGGAUUAUGUGGAUUAAUUCGAUGCAACGCGAAAACCUUACCUGGCCUUGACAUGCCACUAACGAAGCAGAGAUGCAUUAGGUGCCCGAAAGGGAAAGUGGACACAGGUGCUGCAUGGCUGUCGUCAGCUCGUGUCGUGAGAUGUUGGGUUAAGUCCCGCAACGAGCGCAACCCUUGCCAAUAAUUGCCAUCAUUCAGUUGGGCACUUUAUUGGGACUGCCGGUGACAAACCGGAGGAAGGUGGGGAUGACGUCAAGUCCUCAUGGCCCUUAUGGCCAGGGCUUCACACGUAAUACAAUGGUCGGUACAGAGGGUUGCCAACCCGCGAGGGGUAGCCAAUCCCAGAAAGCCGAUCGUAGUCCGGAUUGUAGUCUGCAACUCGACUAC
Molecule: ribosomal RNA, 549 nt
Filed under: uncultured bacterium
Lineage: Bacteria
Description: bacterial SSU rRNA
Rfam family: Bacterial small subunit ribosomal RNA
Source: RNAcentral